Long non-coding RNA from Triticum aestivum (bread wheat), 327 nucleotides. RefSeq lists it as uncharacterized. NCBI's taxonomy places the organism in Eukaryota, Viridiplantae, Streptophyta, Magnoliopsida, Poales, Poaceae. The record is from RefSeq and is a predicted model, not a curated record. The transcript is spliced from 3 exons.
GCUUUGGACUUCCUCAGGUACUGGACAAAAUUGGACACCCGGCCUCCCAUCUUGGUUGUUCUUCCCCUGCUGCAUACCCAGACGCCUUGGAUUGACGGCUCCUGUAGACAAUAAAAAUGCAGCAAACAACUAUGAAAAGACAGACUAAAAUGAAAGUGCAUACAAGGGCAACUCCCACAAUGCUCAUACAGCCAACUUCCACAAUGCUCCAAACGACAAAUAAUCAAGAAUGUUCAACUUCCACAGUGCUUUGACACUGCCAGCCGACAACAAUAAUUUUUUUUGUUGCUCAAAUUCUAUUGUGACCGAGAAUGUUCUCAUACCCAG